RNAcentral lists this ribosomal RNA (218 nucleotides) under uncultured bacterium. Its description in RNAcentral is "partial 16S ribosomal RNA". It matches the Rfam family "Bacterial small subunit ribosomal RNA", at positions 143 to 353 of the family's 1533-position model. The record is from RNAcentral.
AUAACUUACUGGAAACGGAUGCUAAAACCGGAUAGGUAGCAGACAAGCAUUUGACUGCUAUUAAAGUGGCUAAGGCCAUGAACAUGGAUGGACCUGCGGUGCAUUAGCUAGUUGGUGAGGUAACGGCCCACCAAGGCGACGAUGCAUAGCCGGCCUGAGAGGAUGAACGGCCACAUUGGAACUGAGACACGGUCCAAACUCCUACGGGAGGCAGCAUG